Nothobranchius furzeri (turquoise killifish) is the source of this 9957-nucleotide non-coding RNA. The record is from RefSeq and is a predicted model, not a curated record. Lineage: Eukaryota; Metazoa; Chordata; Actinopteri; Cyprinodontiformes; Nothobranchiidae.
ACAAACAAACAAACAAACAAACAGCAGCACGUACACGCAGAGAAAAGGAAGAAGAAAAAUAGCAAAGGUGCAGCUAAACUAUUAUUACAAUCUUCAAUAAGAGUAUGCAGCAAAAAAAUGAAACUAUGCAGCAUAAGGGACACAGACAUAUUAAUGUACAUCCGGUAUUGCACAAGUAAGGAACACUUACACAUAUCGCAUUAAUGUUAGAGUGUAUAAGGAUAGUCCCAAUAAGUAAGUGCUAAACUGAGGAGUUAUACACUUUUACUGCAGAGGGAAUUAAUGACCUGCGUUAGCGUGUUGUCUUAAGUUUUGGAUGUCUCAGCCUUCCACUGAAUGAGCUGUCCAUGGUCUCCACAGUGAAAUGCAACCAGUGGGAGGGGUUUCCCAAGAUGGUGGUCAGCAUCCUCCUUUCACACAUCUCCUUAACUGUGGGCAGCCCAGAAACCAAAAUAGCAUAUCUAGCUUGUUCAGUCCCUUCCUGUCUUGGUCAGAGCUGCCUUAACCCCAACAGACCACAGCAGAGUGAAUAUCAGAACCAACACCAGAGUGAUAAAAGAUUUUAGCAGGUAGGAAUUAACUCCAAGAUGUCCAGGUAUCAGGACAUGAGACUCUAAAUACUGUCGUCGGAAGCUCAACUCUGAUCUGGCUCACUUCUAGUUCCUGGAACAAGCUAACUAGAGCCUUUUCCCCCCAGAGAACAACUGACAAGGCAUUCAUUCCUACUAGAGACCAAUGGAAAUGUAUUAAAAUAUGAGUAAAGUUUACCUUAAAUAGUCACUGAUCAGAUCACUGUCAACACAUCAAGGUGAGAAAUCAUCAAUUAACAUUUGAUAUAAAACACUACAAAUACACACUAUCAGAGCAAUAUAUGUGGGUACCUCACAAAUGAAUGCAUAUUACUAUCAAAACAGAUUAUCUACAAUGGAGAAUAUCUGAUUAAAGAAGAAACAAAAAUCUAUUUUCCCUUGAGAGCUGGUAUAUUCCAAUAGUGCUGAUUGUAAGCUGCAGCUGGGCUGCUUCUGUGUGGUGAUCCAACAGCAAUUCCAAGGACACUGGUAACUCAAAGAAUGACACACUAAACCAUUGUAUACACACGUAAAUUGUACACACUUGUACAUAGGAAAAAGAAAGAUAACUGAAUGUGUGCACUUCAGGCAUCCAAAGACAGUCCAAGGAAAGAAAAAAGACAAGCACUCAAAUAAACAAACAAAUGACCAGACAGCCAUUCUCCCGAGCUGUGACAGCUCUCACAAUGCCUCUUAACAAUUUUCAAUAGUAUAGCCAUAAAUAUUUUCUGGAGAUAAAAAAAAAACAACAAAAAAAAAACUAUGAAAUGGUUCUCUCGCAUUUGUCUAAAAAUCCAAGCUGUGGUUCAGUCCGAAACCAAUGAUAGGACCAUCCAGAUAUCUCACCAAAUCACCACACUUCUGCAUUUACAUGGGUCCUCCACUCAUUAAAUACUCUCACAUUUUGAAAGAGAACCACUGGUAUGAGAGGUUCUCAGAGAAGGAGAAACAGCCGGCUGCUACCACCUCAUAUUUAGGACAAACUACCAGAGUCUCAAAAAGUUAAAGUUAGAGUCCCACUGAUCAUCUCACACUGGUGAAAUUACGCCUCUGUAUUUCACCCAUCCUUGUGAGCGGUGAGCUGCAGCUGUGGCCAUGCUCAGAAACUAUUUGGUGGUUUAACCCCCAAUCCAACCCCUUAAAGCUGAGUGUCAAACGAAGAGGCAUUGGGUCCCAUUUGUAAUGUCUUAGGUUUAAUCCGACCGGAUUUAUACCACAAUAUUCCAGUCCUAGGGUGGACACUCAUACCACCAGGCCACUGAGAAUUUACCAUUUGAAGUCACGAAUAACAAAAGACUUUUGGUUUAGCGCUCCCUUAUUUCCUCUUGCAAUGUGGGGUCCAGCAUUAGGCGACUGUGGUCUAGGGAUGAUAGCUGACGGGGAGGGUGAGAGUUCUGUGACCAAGUCUAAAAACUAGCUUCUUUUGCAGAUCAGCCAUUGCAGCCUUAAUAGCACAUGUUAAGAGUGUGUUGGCAAGGCAUCCCAUCAAAGACAACGUCAAGUGCUACUGCAAGUGAAACAAUAGACUCAAAUAGCACUUUGCCUUUUUUCAAAUUGAUGAUCCAGCCUCCAGCAGGUUUAUCUUUCAGCCUGGAGUGGUGCACCAGCAGGGUAGUUAACCAGUAAUCAAGUCACAUCUGUCAUCCAAUUUCAAAUUCACCACCUCACAUACCAGCCCUGCCUCCCCCUUUGCCUGGCUUAACUCAUCCUCUUGUGUUUUCACUGAGUGACACUUGGAAGUCGAGAAGAGGCCCCACUGAUUGCCCUUGAUGUGAAUCUGUUUCAUCUGCCUGUUUGUUGCCAGUUUCCAACUUAUUAGCUACUAGACUGAUGAAAAUAAGAAAAACACAGAAAAACAGCAGCAUGGAGAGCGGUAUUAUUUCAGCAUUUUUGGAUAUCUUCCUAAAUUUACAUCGGAAUUAAGAUUAAAACUAUAGGAUUCACAUCCGACAAACAAAUAAUAUUUUCAUCAUUAGGCAUGAAGAAGAAGAAGAAGAAAAUAUCAUUUCUAUAGCACCUCUCAAGAUAAAAAUCACGAGGCGCUUCACAGAAGCAAAAAAAUGUAAAAAUAUAAAAAAGCAUUUAGAAAAUGUUAAAAAAUAUAUUUAAAAUGAGCAAAAAUAGGCAAUUGGGAUUUAAAAGAAAACAUGUAAAGAAAGAGAGAGAGUGAAUAGGAAAGAGGGAAAUCAGUGGAUCCUGAGGAAGGUGGAAUAGGUGGGGAGAGCAGAAUAAAGAGAGAGGGGUUGAAGAAGGUCACACCAAAGCCAGCUUGAACAAGUGAGUCUUCAGCUGCUUUUUGAAGGAGACCACUGAGUCCACUGAUCUCAGGCUCAGGGGGAGAGAGUUCCAGAGCCUGGGGGCCACAGCAGCAAAUGAUCUGUCACCUUUGGUCUUUAGCCUGGUGCUGCACAACCAGUAGGCUUUGAUCACUGGACCUCAGGGACCUGCUGGGGGUGUAGGGACUAAGAAGAUCACCAAAGUAAGAUGGUGCUUGUCCAUAUAAGGCCCUAUAGACCAGAACCAGGAUCUUGAAAUGAACCCUGAAGUUGACUGGCAGCCAGUGAAGCUGGAGGAGAAGCGGGGUGAUGUGGGUGUGUUUGGAGGACUUGGUCAGAAGCCGAGCACAGGCAUUCUGAACCACCUGUAGAUGGUUCAGGGAGGUUCUGCUCAGACACGUGAAAAGAGAGUUACAGUAGUCUAAGCGUGAGGAGAUGAAGGUGUGGUGAAUAUUCUCAAGUUCAGAGUGGGACAGAAUGGGACUCAGCAAUGUUCCUGAGAUGGAAGAAGGAAGAGCGAACAAGAAAACUGACAUGAGAAUCCAGGGUGAGAGCUGGGUCACAGGUCAUGCCAAGAUUCCUGACAGAAGGUUUGGUGUGGGAAGCAAGCUGACCAAGAGAGUCUCUGACUUUGGGAACCAGCUUGUCUGGGGCACAGAUGAGGAUCUCACUCUUAUCUUCAUUCAGCUGAAGAAAGCUCCCAUCCAUCCAGGUUUUGAUAGAGUCUAAGCAGGUGUGUAACAGCUGCAGCUUAGACAUCUCAUGGGGCUUAAAGGAGAUGUACAGUUGGAUGUCAUCUGCAUAAAGAUGGUAGGAGAUUCCUUUGAAGAAGCUCAGGAUGUGCUGAAGAGGAAGCAAAUAGAGGAGGAAGAGCAGAAGCCCCAGCGCAGAACCUUGUGGGACACCAUGAGUAAGAGAGGUGGUGGAGGACCUAACCUUGGAGACGGCCACAGAAAAGGAGCACUCAGAGAGAUAAGAGGAGAACCACUCCAGUGCAGAUCCUGAUAGGCCUACCCAGACUAUCAGCUUCUCCAGUAGCAGGUGAUGGUCAACAGCGUCAAAGGCUGCGGUCAGGUCCAGCAGGACCAGAACAGAACAGUCCCCUGGAUCCAGUGGCGGUUCUACAUGGAAUUACUCCCCGGGCGAGGCCCCCUUUGAGUGAUUGAUACUAAUCAGAGCCAGGUUAGUGAGCCGCCCCUGAAACAUAGUUGACCUCAGGUAUGACUUGAUCAAGUUUUGAAAAGCUCCUCUCAGCUUGAGCAACAGUGACUGGCAGAGCAGUCCAAAAGCUGGGGUAGAUCUCCAAUAGAUCUUUAUCAUGAUCCAUAAUAUUUUAGAAUUGCCUCUGAAAUUGUAAUUUAAACGACAUAAAAAAACUGCAUUUGCAUUUUUAAUCACAAUUGUCUAUUUUUGCUUAUUUUAAGCUUUGUAAUCAUUUUUUAAUAUAUUUUUGAUGUUUUAUAUUUUUUUGUUUUUGCAAGGUGCUAUAGAAAAGAUGUUUUUCUUUCUUUUUUUUUAAAAGGCAAAUGCACAACGAGGAGAUACGUUUUGCUCCUGUUUCUACUAAACAAACACUAGGGCAUGCUAAAAGCAAACCAAAACUGUCUUGUUUCCCUUUAAAGAAUUAUUCAAAAUGCACUUUUGUGAAAAUUUCUAGUUUUCCACCCAAAGCACAGGAUAUGCAUUUUUCCUUUUUUCAAGUUAAGGUUUGGCUGGAAAUUAAAAACACAGCUCAUCAUUUUGAACCUUGGUGAAAUGCUUACACUAGACACAUGUUACACUAUUGUUUAAGGACAGGUGCAUCAUCAUUUUUAAUUCUCUUAGCUGUUGAUGAGGCUUUUUAGCUUUGGAAGCUAUUUGGAUUAUGUUUGCAGCCAGAAUGAAUGUAGCCAAUCACAUCUCCGGAAACUUUGGCUGAGUUUGGUGAUUUUUGCAGCACACAUCGGGUGAAUGAUUGAAAACAUUACCUGGUGAUGUGUCAGCAUAUAAUUGCUGUUCUUGGCUUUAUAGCAAAUGUGGUUUCUAAGAGCAACCAUUAUUUGGAACAGGAAGUUUUGGCCAAGAUGUCCAACCAACACAGGCUGUUAUAUUCAAAACAGACUGUCCUGUUCAAGCAAAGCAAGCAUGGCCAAAGGAUUAAGUACUGCAUUAUAAUACCCCUCGGAUAAAACAGAAACACUGCCCAUUGUGCUCUCAGUGGGAUAAAGUGUGAGCCAACCAAUUUCCUUGGAGGAAAUCCCAACAAAACAUUUAACACCAGCUAAGUGUUUGCUGGAUUUAGGGUUUAGACUCAUUCCAGUUCUUUACUCAUUUUGUUCAAAUCAACAGAAAUCUCAUCAAAAUCCAAUAACAAUUGUUUGUGAGACCUUUUUAAAAUGAAACUUUGCCUGUUUGUGUCCUGUUGAGGGUGUAGUGGAUAAGCAAACUGCUUACAUGUGAUGCUCCUGGUUCCACUCUGUGAUAAAAUGUUUUGGAGACAUUUCAGAGAUACAGAAGUCAGCUCUGCACUUUUUGAAGAGAUGUUCUGCCAAGCUCUCAGGUUAAGUGUUCAGGAGAUCAUCUGGGGAGAUAACUGGCAAACGUAGCAGCUACUCUUUCACAAUGUUUACAGGACUAGAAGUGUUUAUACUGUCUGAUGACUUCUGUCUGUUUUUUCCUAACCCGUUGCCUCGGUUGGUUUUCUGUUGAUGAGAAAUAUUAGGGUGUGCUUGACAUUUGAUAUUAGAUUAUUAUAAAGUAAAACAUAAUAAAUGCUCCCCUAACCUCAUGAGACCCCUUUUUGCUUCACUUAGCUGUUUAAAAAUAAUUAAACAUAAAAAUCACAAAUCAAAGCAGUUUUAAACAGAAUAGAAUGUUUAUGUCAGUUUAAUAUAAUUGAUUCAUUGUAAUCAUGCAGCACUACAUUAAUGCUCAUAUUUAUGAACUAAACUACAUAUCAUGGCCACGUUUUGGCCAGUUGUUAAUCAUUUCUGCUAGUAAAGGGCCAUCAUUCAGGAUAGUUGCACUGUCUUUCAUAUACGGCGUUGUAUUUUUAGUGUUCCUCAGCAACACAGAACAGAAAGCUUGAUUAGAUGUUGUCAAAAUGUCUUCUCUGAGGAAAAAGGUGAAGCUCUCCCACAUAUGUACUCCAUCAUUCACAAUAGCAACAAAGCACUGAAGCUUGAGUAAAAAAACAAGUCAAGCGUGGUCCAUUUUUACAAAAGCACAACAAUUACUGAAGAACGAAUCUUGGACUUGCACAGCUUUGAUAAACAGUGAUGGUGGAACUGCAUUAGACACUGAAAUGCUACGUUUAAUUGAUGCUAGUGGUUGUAAGAGGUUCUUUGGAUGCUUUUAAAGCUGUUAUUUGUGAGGUGCUGGUGCCUAGAUGGAGGAAUGGGAAGCAGUGAUGAGUCACAUCAUUAUCAAUCAUAAAUCAUGUUGGUCACUACUGUUCUAUACCAGCAUUGAUAAUCCAAUAAUAUCUUUAAAUCUUUUCCAGUUUAAAUCAAAUGGGUUGUUUAUGAUGUAUCUUGCACUUCCCUCCUCGAUCAGCUUCUGAUAUAAAACAAGUAUUAUUCCUUGUUGGAUGUAGGGAUGUGUGUUAAAAAAUUGAGGCAAAGAAAGUGCCAUCUACUUCCGCUUGAAUAAGCCUGCGAGUAAUCACUGAAUAAUUCAUCUAAAAUGCUAAGUAUUUCUAUUUCAAUGCCUUAAAUCUCCCAUGGUAGAAAAUUACAUGUUUUGGAAAUGAGUACCUCACUUUCAAGAAAAAAACUAAGCAGUGGCAUCUUUACUCAUAUGAUCCAUAUACCAGUUUUGCACCAGUUACCUUAGCAUUGGUCCAAACUGUCAAAUAUUAAUGAAACUGUAGAUGUCUGCAAUAGUGGCUGGUUUCUGAACAUUCAUAUUGAGAUGUAUGGUAAGGAAAAUGUAAAUUUAAAAAUUCAUCUGUUUCUUGUUAUCUACUUCCUGUUUCCAGAGCCAAUCAUAUUUGAGCGCAAAGGGUUGCCAAGUCUGCGCCGACAUUUGCAAAUUGUGGAAAGAAUUUUCGUAACAGGAUACUGUUGAAUUGUGUGCUUCCUUAAAGCUACAGGGUGUGGUUUCCUGGCACUAGGGGGCAGUGCAUACAUUUCAGGUUAUUUUUACACCAUGUUGCUGUGACUGUCACUAGUAUAAAAACAUUAUGGUAAAUGUUAUUUGUGGGGAAGAAAGCAUGCAACCUCGGCCUGACUCCACAGAAUUUGGUGGUCUUUCAGUUAGUCCCAUCUAGAGAACGCAACGCAGAUGCAUAGAUGCAAGUUUUCUGGCGCUGUAGUUUCUCAUAGACCUGCAUCUGAAGGCAUUUCCAGAGAUUAACAGUAAAAACUACACAUUAUCUCUUUAACUCAAUGAGCCUUGCAUGGCAGCUCUUGUGGUCUGCCUGUAUCUGUUUUGUUUUACACGUUUUGUGUGUGUAACCUUGGCCAGGCUGUACUGCGAAGACAAAUGUCUAUGCUUCAGGACGUUGGGGCACUGACAAUAAUGUUGAUUCUUAUUCAAAGCUGUAACAAAUACGUUUCUGUUUUUCAUUCAUCUCCAAACACACUCCAGCUAUGUCACUGUAGAUAGAUUUUAAAACUAUUCUGAAACAAAAUUUGCUUAACACACUUAGGCCAAGAUGGCCAUUUCAAAUGGGGCUUACUCUAAAAUGCAAUCCGUUUCGCAUGUUCUUGUGAUUCAGUUUUGAACUGUUCAGUAAAUUAAAUGCAGUGGUUCAUGGGAUAGUUUGCUAACAGGCAGACAUGGCUUACCUGCAAAGCAUUAAGCAAAGAUGUUGCACAAUUUGUUAUGCUUAAUGCAUAUGAUGGGGACAACUUAGCUACAACCAAAUGAAGUUUAAAGGAGACAUAACAUGAAAAACCCACUUUUUUAUCCGUUAACACAGUGUGUUUCACAUUUUAAGUGUCUAAGUGAGCAAAAAGGCUUAUAUUAUUCACUGGAGUUGCUAUUUAGAUAUUUAAUAAUUAAGUUUUGGGCAUAUUUGUCCACCCGUUCAGUUUUUCAAAUUAUCUAUUAAAUCAGUAAUUUAUUUCGUCAGGAUAACUACCACAUAUGGUAAUGGCCCUCGGCUAAACACAGAGCCAAUCCGCCAUUUUUUCAUCUCGCUAAGAUUUUUUGUAGUCCUAUUGGAAAAAUGCAGAAUGUCUGGUUAUUUUAGCCACACACAGCUCAAAACUGUUCCUCGUUUUAAGGAAGGGUGGUGUGGCAGUAUUUAAACCCAGGAGCUGAUGACACAACUCUUAAAAACAAAACUGAAGAAAAAGUAGUGUGUGUGUGUGUGUGUGUGUGUGUGUGUGUGUGUUUGUGUGUGUGUGUGUGUGUGUGUGUGCGCGCGUGGUUCGUUCGUGUCUCCUGGCUAGUAAGUACCGAGGGCUUCAUCUAUCUAAAAGGAGUCAUUUCCAUCUGAAUGUGGUAGCACCGGGACACAGCAGCAGAGCGGUAAGCUUCAUAUAACUCUAAAAUGUCGACAAACUUUACUUUAGGUUUACGGGCAUUAGCAGCACUAAAGCGUUAGCAUCCGGCUUGCUAUCGCUAGCACAGUAUGCUAGUAAAGUUAUCACCCAGAUUAAUGUGGAUUUGGCUGAUUUUCGUGGAAUAAAACGUGAUUUCUGAUCAACGCCUUCUUUUACACCAGAUGUACAUCCACUGAUUGUAGCAGCAGAGAGCCUGUGUGUUAUUUUACGUGAGUGUGAUGUAAUCUUAGCAUCCAGUAAAUAAAGUCCCAUAUCAGCUAAAAUGCAGCGUGACAAAGUCAUUAAAGUGCGUCAACACAGUGGAUUUAAUAGUUUUAAAGAAGAUCUCUGAGUGAAGUGAGGUUAGUUUUUUGUCUCACUGCAGAUAUAAAAACGAACUCUGCAUCAGUCAGACGCAGCAAAGCUCACCGUCUGUAUGAGCGUGAGCAUCGGAAAGCUGAUCAAAUCAGCUGUAAAAUAAUUAAAACAACAGUAAAAAUGCUCCUUUGCUUUUUAGAGUCCACAUCCAGAAGUCUGGAGCCGUGUUUCACUGACAGGCUGUCAGCCUAACGCCCUGAUGAGCUCAGCUGGGACAAACUGGUCUGAUGUUUAGGAACACAGAACGUUCAGAUGUUGGAGCUUCACGACACCUACUGAGGAAGGAGACCCACCAGUAAAGAGACGGUCUGGACCAGACCAAAAAUAUGGCGAUGACAUCAUGGAACUGGUCUUUGGAAAAGUUUUCCCUGAACCAACUCCGUUUCUAGAUGAGGUAGAGAAGAUCUGCAUCUCACCAACUCUCUGGUCUCAGUAUUCAGACAACGGAGGUCUCCCACUGUUAUCCAGGACCAGUUUGAAGCCCACAUACUUCCCCUCCCUCAUCAUCAGGAAACAUCAAUCCGUAUCCUGAGGACAACAGAAGACGGCAGGAGGACAGGAACUCUGAGACCUAGAUACCACCAGCACCGGGGCACAAAGCACCUGUGUGCACAACGCCUGUUUAACUACUAAAACCUGUUUAUUAUAUAGUUCUACUUAUUUGCUGUGAGGUUAAUACUUAGAAAAUUUGUAUUUUAAUGUAAACAAUAAAAAAAUCACUGAUUGUAUGUUUUCUUUUAGAUGUAAUGGUCCAAACUCCGCCUUGUAGACAUUUAUUGCAUCCUGUAGGUAAAUACACAGAACAGGCUCAGAUCCAUGAUGACCCAGCAUGCUCUUCUUCCAUUCUGGCUGUUAGGGAUUGUAUCAAUAACUCAAUGCCUACUGAUGUUUCCACCUAACGGUAUUUAUUUAGAAUGCAGGUAAGAUUUAACUAUAUUUGUUAGCAAAGCAGACUGAUCUUGGGAAUUUCACUGCAGCACUGAUGUCCACCUCUCUGUACACAUUAGAGAGAAUUACCACUUUACAGCAAAACACACAUUUAAUAAAGAUAUAGGCUACGCAUUGCAGACAAUAAAAACAAAGUUCUAAGCAUUAGAAUUAUAAUGAUCACAUUAAAGAACAUUUGGAGGAAUGUUCUUUAUUUUUGACUAGAAUCUCAAAUCUUUAAAUUAAAAUGUAACUGCUUUUUAUCCAUUUUCAGCCAUUAAGACACCCAAUAUUAAAUAAGACUACUUAUAAAAUUAUUUAUAAUUAUAUGUAUGU